ACUAAUAAUAAAAAAAACUAAAAGAACAUGGCCAUGGAAUCACAGAACCCAAAUUCCAAGACUAGAAUCGAAAAACCGUCCUUUUCUGACUGGUUUUGGAAGGAAAAAAACGACUUUCCCUUCGUUUCGCAGCGUUCACUAUCACAAAAAAAAAAAAAAAAAAAAAAACAGAACUUAAGUCACCCUGAAAACAGAGAGUUUCAGACGUGGAGAAGAGAAAGAGAAAAUGAAAGAAAAGGCCGUCACUUGUGCAUACGAAGUCGGUUGAACCGAGCGGCAUCGGUGCACAAGAAGAGUUGUCGGGGCGUCAUUUCCCCAAUGACUUCACGCUUUUCUCCGACACUGAAACACACACAACAGUUUUUACGCAUACACACACGGUGCAUUGUCUUUUUUUGCCCCCGCGUUCCUACGUGCAGAAAUGAGAAUUAGCGCAAUAGUUUUUAGUCUCGCCUGCUCGAUCCGUGCCUCAGGAACCCACAUCAGGGUUUCGUUUAACCGCAACAACGGGAUGUACGUCUUUUACGGUGCGUUGAAUUUCCAUCAAAAUUCAGAUCCUUUCUUUGCGCGCAAGAGGCUUAAGGAUAUUGGCAAAGCUUUCAUUUCGAUUCGUGUUUGACACUUGUUCAACCAACAGACUACCGGAGCUUCUGAAACGUCCGCAACGCACCACCAAAUCAGAGAGGUUCGCAGCGCUAUUAUUUAGACCAAACACCACGAACAAGGUGCAAACACCCAAAAUAAAUUGAAGACAAAGAUGGCAGUACCGAGAAAUGAAAAACAAGACGAAAUGCUGACAUUUUUUACGAAGAAAAAAAAAAAAAAACAAUUUUUCAAAAGAAAAGAAAAACAAGAUAGUGGAACGAUGAAUUUCAAGCGAAUUCAACCCUGCUCCAUCGUGUAUGACAACCUGGGCUACUGGAUGGUUGGAUCAUACGCAGUGGGGGGGAAAAAAUGUAUGAUCAAUGGGAAGGUGCUCACAUCUCACUUGCGUACUACGAGAGGCACGCACGUGGACAGAGAAAAGCACUGGAGAGCAGCACUGGUCCAGUUUUAUCAUUAUCAAGCUGGAAUUGACAUUGACUAACGACCGCCCGAGAGCCGAAAACGAUUGGCUCCGUCUAAGUGCACUUCUGGAUAUCACUAACCCAUCCGCAACCUUGAUGACGGAAACCACGCGACUUGACAGUUUCCCACCUGUUAUCCCUACCAGCUCUUUUCUUUUUUUCUUUUUUUUCCCCCUCCGCUUCUCUCUCUCUCUCUCUCACCCUCUCCUCCUUGUUGCUUCCUUUUCAGGAACUUCAAAAAAUAAAAUAAAAUGUGGAAAUCCAACAGAAAAAAAAAACAAAAACUGGAAAAUCUCUUUUGUUUUUCUUUUGAAGAGUUGCAGCGCGCAACACACACAAGACGCAAAGGACGUUCGGAAUCUGAUAACUAUCGAUGGUUAAGGAAAAGAGUUCAACUAACAGAGAGGGGCAAAAGGAAACAAGGAAGAUAUACGUAAAGAAACCAAGGAAAAACUUAACAAAUAAUUCGGAAAGACUUGUUAGGUAGUCACAUUGGACUGCCACGCAGGGCUGCAGCGAAAACAAUUGACAGCAAAAAGAGGUACGGCAAACUUGUCAGCGGAAUCGAAUUCAGCCAUUAGUGAUUGCGAUGCACACCAAUGCGCAUCGCGCGAGUUACCACCUGCACAUACACCCAUACGAGUUUUCAAGCUUCAUUAGAUGUAAUGAUUUGCGAUUCACUACGUUCGUCACUGAUAAAUAAACAAUUGAUUUCGUGUAGA
RNAcentral lists this long non-coding RNA (1789 nucleotides) under Daphnia magna. RNAcentral's name for it is "uncharacterized LOC123470556". The record is from RNAcentral. Lineage: Eukaryota; Metazoa; Arthropoda; Branchiopoda; Diplostraca; Daphniidae.